GCCGGGCAUGGUGGCGCAUGCCUGUAGUCCCAGCUACUUGGGAGGCUGAGGCAGGGCAAUUGUUUGAACCCAGGAGGUGGAUGUUGCAGUGAGCCGAAAUUGUCCCACUGCACUCCAGCCUGGGCAACAGAGCAAGACUCUGUCUCAA
RNAcentral lists this non-coding RNA (148 nucleotides) under Pan troglodytes (chimpanzee). Lineage: Eukaryota; Metazoa; Chordata; Mammalia; Primates; Hominidae. The record is from Rfam by way of RNAcentral.